Molecule: ribosomal RNA, 427 nt
Filed under: uncultured prokaryote
Description: bacterial SSU rRNA
Rfam family: Bacterial small subunit ribosomal RNA
Source: RNAcentral
UGGGGAAUUUUGCGCAAUGGGCGAAAGCCUGACGCAGCAACGCCGCGUGGGUGAUGAAGGUCUUCGGAUCGUAAAACCCUGUCGUCAGGGACGAAGGUUGCAUGUCUAAUAGAUGUGCAGCUUGACGGUACCUGGAGAGGAAGCCCCGGCUAACUCUGUGCCAGCAGCCGCGGUAAUACAGAGGGGGCAAGCGUUAUUCGGAAUUAUUGGGCGUAAAGGGCGCGUAGGCGGUGUCUUAAGUGAGAUGUGUAAUCCCCGAGCUUAACUUGGGAACUGCAUCUCAGACUGGGGCGCUAGAGUGCUGGAGAGGGUGGUGGAAUUCCACGUGUAGCGGUGAAAUGCGUAGAGAUGUGGAGGAACACCAGUGGCGAAGGCGGCCACCUGGACAGUAACUGACGCUGAGGCGCGAAAGUGUGGGGAGCAAACA